GACUCUCAACUCCGUUCUUGGGUUCCUCGAGGCUGUCCUCUCUUCUCCCCUUCUCUUCCUGGUUCAUUUUAUCACGUUUUUUGAGCUGGUGCUUUUUCAGCGGGAGCGGUCGCUGCACCUUCUCCAUGACUCCAACAGAAGUCGCUCUGGGGAGCUUCCCAAGGUCCUUGUUUCGGAGGUGGUAUCCUUCUGCGGCGGCAGGGGCUCCGUCGACCUCGCUGUCCCUACACAGGGUGGUAAAGGAGCAAGCCUGAAGCUGACUUUUGUUUGGGACAAAACCGAAAAUCCUUUUUAGCAUAUGGAGUGGGCUCCUCCCUGUGCCUCUUUGCUUCCUCUAGAUCCUCACCUCGGAUCUGGAGGCUAGAGAUUUUGGCAGCGAGACCCAGCACUGAUCCAAUUGCAACCCCAGCAACUCUAGCAAAGGGAUUGAACUACACAUGUCGCUCUGGGGAGCUUCCCCAGCUCCUUGGUUCGGAGGUGGUAUCCUCUGGUGGUGGUCUUCCCCAAAGGGCUAUUAAGUGGCACUUCCAUCAAGAGGGUUAUUUCUACACUCAGUCCAAGAUGUGGAGAAUCUUUGUCUUGAUUAUUGUAGGCAAGUAGACAAAAGACCCUGAUACUUUCAUUAAACCUUUAGGUAGAUGUUGCUGGUUUGGGGCUUCUGAAACUCGGCCAUCUUGUCUCACCUCAACUAUGGAAAUAGUAUGAAUUCGUGUGUUUCUCUUUGAACUAGUCUCAGAAAGGAAUCCUAAUCUUAGUGUUUCUGGGAGAAUAGACUUUCAUCUGGGGGGGGCGGGGGGAGAGGGGAGGCAGCCCAUGUCUGUUCAUCUAUUGCUUCAGUCUGUGAGGGGCAGGAAGAGGUCUGGAAGAACCAUUCAAGUUCAUGGGGUUGUUUGGGGGAGUGGUGCUCACUGAUGAGAACUGGUUCCACCAUAGCAAACAUCCUUCUCCACCUCUAAAAGCAAGGAAGCACAUUGGAGAUUAACCUGUACCCUCUCUACUUGGCACAGCUAUAUGUGAGUUCAUCUUCCACAUACAGUAAAAUGAUGGAAAAGCAUGUUAUCUUUGCUGAUAACAUGGUUUUAAACAGCUUCUCACUAGAGGAGGAGUAGCCUCCAUUGAUGAUACCAUUAUAAAGAGUGGCUUGGCACCAGCUUAAAUUUUGUAGGUAUUCUCCAAUAUUUAAAGAAUACUAAAUCACAUUCUUUAAGAACAACAAAGCUCACUAACAGAUACAAUAAAUUGCGGAAGUUUGGGUCUUUCUCCA
Molecule: long non-coding RNA, 1264 nt
Filed under: Monodelphis domestica (gray short-tailed opossum)
Lineage: Eukaryota; Metazoa; Chordata; Mammalia; Didelphimorphia; Didelphidae
Description: lncRNA (ENSMODG00000044674.1)
Source: RNAcentral